RNAcentral lists this long non-coding RNA (4852 nucleotides) under Xyrichtys novacula (pearly razorfish). Lineage: Eukaryota; Metazoa; Chordata; Actinopteri; Labriformes; Labridae. The record is from RNAcentral.
UCGCGUCCCCCCCCCAACGCGCUGCCUCCCCGUCCCAUUUGUGUCCUCUGGCCAUCGCCCUCUCUGGUAACGCCCAUCACUGCAAAGACCCUUUUCCUUCAUCGGCGUUUGCUGUUCUUCCUGCCAGUGCGUGUUGCUUUCACUUACACUUGCCACAGCCAGCCUCGUGAGUGCCUAGCCUAUUGGAUAUCACUGUCACCUACACAGGACAGUCAUUACCUUUCUAUUAAUACUUUGUUUUUUAAUUUCACAUUAAUUUCCAUAUUGUAUAAACAACUGGAAAAAACUUGAGCCCCUGCCCCUGUAUAAUCAUGUGCACGUCUCUGUUCUAGCUCUAAGGUGAAUCUUCACUGCUCAUGUUCUCCUCAGAAGCAGUCACCUCACUCCCCUCAGGUUACUGUACACAUGCACCAACUGCCUGCUUCAGGUUUGGAUGGAGCUUCAUGGUUGUCUUUUGGAGUAAUGACCAGUCAAGUUGUGUUUGAAAUUUGAUUUUUUUCAGGGGCAAAAGGAGCCUCUGCAUUCUUGUCAAAUAUGUAAAUAGCAUGUUUUUGCAGGUGCUAAAAACCAGACUCUGAGUGUGUGUGUGUGCGUGUGUGUGUGUGUCUGUGUGUGUGUGUGUGUGUGUGUGUGUGCGUUCAAGUCACAUGACAUAUUUAACCGGAUGUAGCUGCAAGACGGAGCCUCGUUGACUCUCCGUUUCAACUUAUCUCAAAAGUGAGGACCUCAACCUAUAUACCAGUUUUUAAAUUGUGUUGAUAGGCCAAAUAAAACCAGAGUUAUGAUAAAUUAUGUCCGCGAUACUUUUUUUCUGCUUAUUUUGAUCACGUUCGGCGCUCGAUCGCGCUGUAUGAGACAGGAAAACAUAGCAUGCAGACAUUAGCGACAGGUCUUACAGGCGGAAAAGGCUUGCCAAAAGAAAAAAAAAACACACCACAACAUCUCUCCUAUUGGUGGAAAACUUCACCACAACAACCAAUCCAAAAUUAUAUGGUGACUGAUUGACAAGGGGAGGGCGCUUACGUUCUUCCUGCAACAUGAGAAGGGAGGGAGGGACUCUCAGCAGGGAUGCAGUCUGGGACACGUAGUUGCAAACCUAGCGACUUUGUUGUUAGAUUCAAUGACUUUUCAGACCCCCUAACGACUUUUUUUAGAAAGAAAGGGACUUUUAUCUACUUCUUCUGGAGUUUAGAGACUCUGACAUGAAGCAGGCUUUCCUUACUGAGGAGUUAGCAACGCUGCUAAGGGUGCAGAGCCACACAUGCGCUCAGAGCUCUGCAUGGGAGACUGAAGCUGACAGAGCUGCAGCAGUUAGCAGGUUUCACCCUCAGAGACCACCAGGGGUUCAUGUUGAGGCAUUUUUUUUUUUUUUUUUUUUGUGCCAUAGACACUGUCAGCACAAUCUGCAGUUACACUAACAAAAAUGCUGCAAAAAACAAAGAAUUGUGGAAAAAUUACACAUGGACUGACAUAGAGGAGGAUCUACACAAGUAUUUUACAUCAUGUUUUACAUCAUGCAUCAUUUACAUCAUGUUUUUUUGUAGUGGCAUAAAUAAAAAGUGACAUUUGUGAGACUAUACAGUGUUUUGUAAAUAAUUUUACAAAGAACGCCUGGGCCAUUGCCUGCAUUUUGAUGUAAAUAGAGGUAAAUCACUAUGUUCUUUGUUAAAAAUUUGCAUAUGUUUUGAAGUUUACAAUUUUUAUUUGAAGUUUAAGUUUUAAAAACAGUUCAUCACACAUAUUUGUGGUUUUCACAGUAAAAAUGUUACUUUUUUCCACUCGGAUUUUAUGUUUUGUGUGUGAAUUUGGGUCCACUGUGUAAAUUCAGUAUGUCAACAUGAUAAAAUAACUGUAAAUUCGCACAGGUGAGGUUGUGCUGAAAAAAAUGAUACCAGGCAAGGCACGUGAUUGUCAAAUUUUGUGUCAAUAUGACAAAGCGUAUAGGCGUGAAUCUCAACAAUAUGUAUUUUCACCUUAAGGGACAAGAAAAAAUGGACUUUUUUCUCCUGCCAUGGGGGGCGCUCUUUUGGGGAGUAAAAAUUCCUUCACAAAUGUGUUGAUGGCUGGACAUUGCAUCAUCCUAGAAAACUUGGAGGCCAGUGAGGACAAAAAUAAAAAGUUAUAAGACUUUUAAAUAUGUGGAUUUUAGGGUUAUCUUUGGCGCCCCCUAGAACCUAAACCGUGGGGUGCAGCGUCAUGAUUUUGAUAACUUUUAAUGGCCAUGGGGUGUAGAUUGGCCUGAGCAAAUGUGGUGCCGGUGGAACGAAAGCCUUAGGAGGAGUUAGCCACAUUCCAAUGUGUGCGGAUCGGCAAAAAAUGCGGAAUAACCCUUUAACCGUACAUUUGACAGAUACGCGCGCAUUGACUUUUUCGUAGAUCUUAUUGAGUUACAUGUGUGUGUCAAUUUUUGUGUCAUUUUGACAAAGCGUAUAGGCGUGACAGUCAACAAUGUGUAUUUUCACCUUAGGGGACAAGAAAAAAUUGACUUUUUUCUCCUGCCAUGGGGGGGCGCUCUUUUGGGGAGUAAAAAUUCCUUCACAAAUGUGUUGAUGGCUGGACAUUGCAUCAUCCUAGAAAACUUGGAGGCCAGUGAGGACAAAAAUAAAAAGUUAUAAGACUUUUAAAUAUGUGGAUUUUAGUGUUAUCUUUGGCGCCCCCUAGAACCUAAACCUUGGGGUGCAGCGUCAUGAUUUUGAUAACUUUUAAUGGCCACGGGGUGUAGAUUGGCCUGAGCAAAUGUGGUGCCGGUGGAACGAAAGCCUUCGGAAGAGUUAGCGAAAUUCCAAUGUGUGCGGAUCGGCAAAAAAUGCGAAAUAACCCUUUAACCGUAAUUUUGACAGAUACGGUCGCACUGACUUUUUUGUAGAUCCUAUUGAGAUACAUAUGUGUGUCAAUUUUUGUGUCAAUAUGACAAAGCGUACAGGCGUGACAGUCAAUAGUGUGAAUUUCCACCUUAGGGGGCGCUAUGGAGCCAUUUUGCAUUUUAUUGUUUGGGCGACUUCAGAAUAUCGAAUUUUUCACCAGGCCCGGUCGUCCUGCCAAAUUUCAUGAGUUUUCGCCAGUGGGAAGUGGGCCAUUUUCCAGUUCAAAGGGGAGGAAAAAGAAGAAAGAAAGAAAGAAAGAAAGAAACAAAGAAAAACCACUUGGGGAAUAAUAGGGCCUACGCCCGGCUGCUCUGCAGCUGGCUCGGGCCCUAAAGAAAGAAAGAAACAAAGAAAAACCACUUGGGGAAUAAUAGGGCUCUCGCAGCUGCUUAGCAGCUACGCUCGGGCCCUAACUAGGACCCCGUUGGGGCACUGGCGGGCCCGAGCUGUGUCGCGUCCCCCCCCCAACGCGCUGCCUCCCCGUCCCAUUUGUGUCCUCUGGCCAUCGCCCUCUCUGGUAACGCCCAUCACUGCAAAGACCCUUUUCCUUCAUCGGCGUUUGCUGUUCUUCCUGCCAGUGCGUGUUGCUUUCACUUACACUUGCCACAGCCAGCCUCUUGAGUGCCUAGCCUAUUGGAUAUCACUGUCACCUACUCAGGACAGUCAUUACCUUUCUAUUAAUACUUUGUUUUUUAAUUUCACAUUAAUUCCCAUAUUGUAUAAACAACUGGAAAAAACUUGAGCCCCUGCCCCUGUAUAAUCAUGUGCACGUCUCUGUUCUAGCUCUAAGGUGAAUCUUCACUGCUCAUGUUCUCCUCAGAAGCAGUCACCUCACUCCCCUCAGGUUACUGUACACAUGCACCAACUGCCUGCUUCAGGUUUGGAUGGAGCUUCAUGGUUGUCUUUUGGAGAAAUGACCAGUCAAGUUGUGUUUGAAAUUUGAUUUUUUUCAGGGGCAAAAGGAGCCUCUGCAUUCUUGUCAAAUAUGUAAAUAGCAUGUUUUUGCAGGUGCUAAAAACCAGACUCUGAGUGUGUGUGUGUGUGCGUGUGUGUGUGUGUGUGUGUGUGUGUGUGUGUGUGUGUGUGUGUGUGUGUGUGUGUGUGUGUGCGUUCAAGUCACAUGACAUAUUUAACCGGAUGUAGCUGACAGAGCUGCAGCAGUUAGCAGGUUUCACCCUCAGAGACCACCAGGGGUUCAUGUUGAGGCAUUUUCAGUUUUUUUUUUUUUUUUUGCCAUAGACACUGUCAGCACAAUCUGCAGUUACACUAACAAAAAUGCUGCAAAAAACAAAGAAUUAUGGAAAAAUUACACAUGGACUAACAUAGAGGAGGAUCUACACAAGUUUUUUACAUCAUGUUUUACAUCAUGCAUCAUUUACAUCAUGUUUUUUUGUAGUGGCAUAAAUAAAAAGUGACAUUUGUGAGACUAUACAGUGUUUUGUAAAUAAUUUUACAAAGAACACCUGGGCCAUUGCCUGCAUUUUGAUGUAAAUAGAGGUAAAUUACUAUGUUCUUUGUUAAAAAUUUGCAUAUGUUUUGAAGUUUACAAUUUUUAUUUGAAGUUUAAGUUUUAAAAACAGUUCAUCACACAUAUUUGUGGUUUUCACAGUAAAAACGUUACUUUUUUCCACUCGGAUUUUAUGUUUUGUGUGUGAAUUUGGGUCCAAUGUGUAAAUAUAGUAUGUCAAAAUGAUAAAAUAACUGUAAAUUGACACAGGUGAGGUUGUGCUGAAAAAAAUGAUACCAGGCAAGGCAAGGUAAAAAUUUUGUAAGAGGAAAUAUAAAGGUAAAAUCUAAAGUAGUCAAAAACGGCCAAUAGUGACUCACAGACUCCACAGACAAGUCCCUUUGGCGCCACUCAGUGGGCAAAACUACUUUGUCUACUGUAAUGUAUAUUUGGGUCAUCUUUGGCGCCCCCUAAAACGUAAACCGUGGGGUGCAGCGUCAUGAUUUUUACAACUUUGAAUGGCCAUGGAGUGUAGAUUGGC